AACGAACGUUGGCGGCGUGGAUUAGGCAUGCAAGUCGAACGAGAAAGCGUCCUUCGGAUGCGAGUAAAGUGGCGAACGGGUGAGUAACGCGUGGGGAACCGUACCCUUGAGUGGGGGAGUAACGCUCCUAACGGGGCGCUAAUACCGCAUGACACCGGAGGCAGGCAUCUGCUUCCGGUCGAAGAUGGCCUCUGAAUGUAAGCUGUCGCUCAAGGAUGGCCCCGCGUCCGAUUAGCUUGUUGGUGGGGUAACGGCCCACCAAGGCUACGAUCGGUAGCCGGCCUGAGAGGGUGUCCGGCCACACUGGGACUGAGAUACGGCCCAGACUCCUACGGGAGGCAG
Molecule: ribosomal RNA, 342 nt
Filed under: uncultured Latescibacterota bacterium
Lineage: Bacteria; Pseudomonadati; Candidatus Latescibacterota
Description: bacterial SSU rRNA
Rfam family: Bacterial small subunit ribosomal RNA
Source: RNAcentral